RNAcentral lists this ribosomal RNA (253 nucleotides) under uncultured bacterium. RNAcentral describes it as "partial 16S ribosomal RNA". It matches the Rfam family "Bacterial small subunit ribosomal RNA", at positions 524 to 776 of the family's 1533-position model. The record is from RNAcentral.
GACGGAGGAUGCAAGUGUUAUCCGGAAUCACUGGGCGUAAAGCGUCUGUAGGUGGUCAAAUAAGUCAACUGUUAAAUCUUGAGGCUCAACCUCAAAAUCGCAGUCGAAACUAUUAGACUAGAGUAUAGUAGGGGUAAAGGGAAUUUCCAGUGGAGCGGUGAAAUGCGCAGAUAUCAGGAGGAACACCGAUGGCGAAGGCAGGUCUCUGGGCAUUAACUGACGCUGAGGAGCGAAAGCAUGGGGAGCGAACAGG